Molecule: ribosomal RNA, 1162 nt
Filed under: uncultured alveolate
Lineage: Eukaryota
Description: SSU rRNA
Rfam family: Eukaryotic small subunit ribosomal RNA
Source: RNAcentral
GUAGUCAUAUGCUUGUCUCAAAGAUUAAGCCAUGCAUGUCUAAGUAUAAGCCUUUACACGGCGAAACUGCGAAUGGCUCAUUAAAACAGUUAUAGUUUAUUCGAUGACUAAUUUACUACAUGGAUAACCGUAGUAAUUCUAGAGCUAAUACAUGCGCAAAGACCCGACUCUCGCGGAAGGGUUGUGCUUAUUAGAUACAGAACCAGUCUGGGGAAACCCAGUUCUCACUGGUGAUUCAUAAUAAUCCAACGAAUCGCAUGCCUUUGGCGGCGAUGGAUCGUUCAAGUUUCUGACCUAUCAGCUACCGACGGUAGGGUAUUGGCCUACCGUGGCUUUGACGGGUAACGGAGAAUUAGGGUUCGAUUCCGGAGAGGGAGCCUGAGAAACGGCUACCACAUCUAAGGAUGGCAGCAGGCGCGCAAAUUACCCAAUCCUGACACAGGGAGGUAGUGACAAGAAAUAACAAUACGGGGCAACUUUGUCUUGUAAUUGGAAUGAGUGAGGUUUAAAUCCUCUCACGAGUAUCAAUUGGAGGGCAAGUCUGGUGCCAGCAGCCGCGGUAAUUCCAGCUCCAAUAGCGUAUAUUAAAGUUGUUGCGGUUAAAAAGCUCGUAGUUGGAUUUCUGUCGAGGUUGACCGGUCCGUUUACUCUUCGGAGGGAAUGUGAUCAUGGCUCGACCGAGACAUUCUCCGGACGUAGCUGUCAUACUUUACUGUGAGCUGUGAAAUCCGGUCUUUUACUUUGAGGAAAUUAGAGUGUUUCAAGCAGGCGUAUGCCUUGAAUACAUUAGCAUGGAAUAAUACGAUAGGACUUUGGUUCUAUUUUAUUGGUUUCUAGAACUGAAGUAAUGAUUAAUAGGGACAGUCGGGGGCAUUCGUACUUAACAGUCAGAGGUGAAAUUCUUGGAUUUGUUAAAGACGAACUACUGCGAAAGCAUUUGCCAAGGAUGUUUUCAUUGAUCAAGAACGAAAGUUAGGGGAUCGAAGACGAUUAGAUGCCGUCCUAGUCUUAACCAUAAACCAUGCCGACUAGAGAUUGGAGGCCGUUUAUUCGACGCCUUCAGCACCUCGUGAGAAAUCAAAGUCUUUGGGUUCCGGGGGGAGUAUGGUCGCAAGGCUGAAACUUAAAGGAAUGACGGAAGAAUCGUCGACUGCAGCACGUC